Schistosoma mattheei is the source of this 45-nucleotide non-coding RNA. The record is from Rfam. NCBI's taxonomy places the organism in Eukaryota, Metazoa, Platyhelminthes, Trematoda, Strigeidida, Schistosomatidae.
AUCCAUCUGACGAGUCUCAAAUAGGACGAAACUCGUGUCCUCGAC